Molecule: ribosomal RNA, 323 nt
Filed under: uncultured bacterium
Lineage: Bacteria
Description: bacterial SSU rRNA
Rfam family: Bacterial small subunit ribosomal RNA
Source: RNAcentral
GACGAACGCUGGCGGCGUGCUUAACACAUGCAAGUCGAGCGGGGACAAUUGGCGGAAGUUUUCGGAUGGAAGCCAAAUGUUCUAGCGGCGGACGGGUGAGUAACGCGUGAGCAACCUUUCUCUCAGUGGGGAAUAACACAGGGAAACUUGUACUAAUACCGCAUGAGACCACGGUGGGGCAUCCUACAGGGGUCAAAGAUUUAUUGCUGAGAGGUGGGCUCGCGUCCGAUUAGGUAGUUGGUGAGGUAACGGCCCACCAAGCCGACGAUCGGUAGCCGACCUGAGAGGGUGAUCGGCCACAUUGGGACUGAGACACGGCCCAA